CGGCGGACGGGUGAGUAACGCGUGGGUAACCUGCCUCAUACAGGGGGAUAACAGUUGGAAACGGCUGCUAAUACCGCAUAAGCGCACAGUACCGCAUGGUACGGUGUGAAAAAACUCCGGUGGUAUGAGAUGGACCCGCGUCUGGUUAGGUAGUUGGUGGGGUAACGGCCUACCAAGCCGACGAUCAGUAGCCGACCUGAGAGGGUGACCGGCCACAUUGGGACUGAGACACGGCCCAA
This 239-nucleotide ribosomal RNA is filed under the name uncultured bacterium. Its description in RNAcentral is "partial 16S ribosomal RNA". It matches the Rfam family "Bacterial small subunit ribosomal RNA", at positions 96 to 334 of the family's 1533-position model. The record is from RNAcentral.